RNAcentral lists this ribosomal RNA (305 nucleotides) under uncultured bacterium. RNAcentral's name for it is "bacterial SSU rRNA". It matches the Rfam family "Bacterial small subunit ribosomal RNA", at positions 332 to 655 of the family's 1533-position model. The record is from RNAcentral.
CUGACCUACGGGGGGCAGCAGUGGGGAAUAUUGCACAAUGGGGGGAACCCUGAUGCAGCGACGCCGCGUGACUGAAGAAGGCCUUCGGGUUGUAAAGAUCUUUAAUCGGGGACGAAUUUUGACGGUACCCGAAGAAUAAGCUCCGGCUAACUACGUGCCAGCAGCCGCGGUAAUACGUAGGGAGCAAGCGUUAUCCGGAUUUACUGGGUGCAAAGGGCGUGUAGGCGGGCAUGCAAGCCAGAAGUGAAAUCUGGGGGCUUAACCCCCAAACUGCUUUUGGAACUGCGUGUCUUGAGUGAUGGAGA